Molecule: ribosomal RNA, 687 nt
Filed under: Triticum aestivum (bread wheat)
Lineage: Eukaryota; Viridiplantae; Streptophyta; Magnoliopsida; Poales; Poaceae
Description: partial small subunit ribosomal RNA
Source: RNAcentral
AUGAAGGUCGUCACUUUCAACUGUCGGGGGCUUGGGAACUAGCCGGCAGUCGAGGGCCUUCUGGAGCUACAGAAGGCUGAAGACCCUGACAUCCUCUUUCUUUCAGAAACAAAGCUGGACAGGGAGAGGAUGAAGCGAAUUAAGGUGUUGUUGGGAAUGCCCAACAUGGAGGUAAAGGACUGUGAGGGGCAAAGUGGUGGCUUGGCCCCUCUCUGGAAGAAGGAUGUAAAUGUAAGAGUGAACCCUGGGAUGUCGCGCUACCACAUCGACGCCGACGUCACUGGGGAGGAUGGGUUCGUCUGGAGGCUUACUGGUAUUUAUGGUGAGCCGAAGCAUUGGGAGAAAGAGAAGACUUGGAAACUCUUGCGCAUCCUUCAUGGACGUUCCUCUCUGCCUUGGAUGUGUUUUGGUGACUUCAAUGAGAUCCUCUUCGCAAGUGAGAAGCAGGGGGUCCGGAUAGAUCCCAUGCCUGCAUGGAUAAAUUUCGGAGUGCUCUGGAGUUCUGUGAGCUCGAGGAUUUGGGCUUCGUGGGGGAUCCUUACACUUGGCGCAAUCACAGUCACCGGGCGGACACUUACAUUAAGGAGAGGCUUGAUCGGGCUGUCGCAAACUUGGGAUGGCGCUCCCAUUUUCCGGCCUACAAGGCAAUCAAUGGGGAUCCAAGGCACUCCGAUCAUAGACCCGUGA